RNAcentral lists this ribosomal RNA (253 nucleotides) under uncultured bacterium. RNAcentral describes it as "partial 16S ribosomal RNA". It matches the Rfam family "Bacterial small subunit ribosomal RNA", at positions 524 to 776 of the family's 1533-position model. The record is from RNAcentral.
UACGUAGGCAGCAAGCGUUGUUCGGAAUUACUGGGCGUAAAGAGUGCGUAGGUGGUUGGCUAAGUUUGGCGUGAAAUCUCCCGGCUCAACUGGGAGGGUGCGCCGAAAACUGGCUGGCUAGAGUGUGGGAGAGGGACGUGGAAUUCCUGGUGUAGCGGUGAAAUGCGUAGAUAUCAGGAGGAACACCUGCGGUGUAGAUGGCGUCCUGGACCAUUACUGACACUGAGGCACGAAAGAGUGGGGAGCAAACAGG